UAAACGCGUAGGUAACCUGCCCGGUAGUGGGGGAUAACUAUUGGAAACGAUAGCUAAUACCGCAUAAUAACAGUUGUUGCAUGACAACUGUUUGAAAGGUGCAAUUGCAUCACUACCAGAUGGACCUGCGUUGUAUUAGCUAGUUGGUGGGGUAACGGCUCACCAAGGCGACGAUACAUAGCCGACCUGAGAGGGUGAUCGGCCACACUGGGACUGAGACACGGCCCAG
This 229-nucleotide ribosomal RNA is filed under the name uncultured bacterium. Its description in RNAcentral is "partial 16S ribosomal RNA". It matches the Rfam family "Bacterial small subunit ribosomal RNA", at positions 110 to 334 of the family's 1533-position model. The record is from RNAcentral.